This 376-nucleotide ribosomal RNA is filed under the name uncultured bacterium. RNAcentral's name for it is "bacterial SSU rRNA". It matches the Rfam family "Bacterial small subunit ribosomal RNA", at positions 539 to 917 of the family's 1533-position model. The record is from RNAcentral.
CGUUAUCCGGAUUCACUGGGUUUAAAGGGUGCGUAGGCGGGNAGGUAAGUCCGUGGUGAAAUCUCCGNGCUUAACUNGGAAACUGCCGUGGAUACUAUNUGUCUUGAAUAUNGUGGAGGUGAGCGGAAUAUGUCAUGUAGCGGUGAAAUGCUUAGAUAUGACAUAGAACACCAAUUGCGAAGGCAGCUCNCUACACUAUUAUUGACGCUGAGGCACGAAAGCGUGGGGAUCAAACAGGAUUAGAUACCCUGGUAGUCCACGCCCUAAACGAUGAUUACUCGACAUCAGCGAUACACUGUUGGUGUCUGAGCGAAAGCAUUAAGUAAUCCACCUGGGAAGUACGACCGCAAGGUUGAAACUCAAAGGAAUUGACGGA